Molecule: ribosomal RNA, 480 nt
Filed under: uncultured bacterium
Lineage: Bacteria
Description: bacterial SSU rRNA
Rfam family: Bacterial small subunit ribosomal RNA
Source: RNAcentral
AUUGAACGCUGGCGGCAUGCUUUACACAUGCAAGUCGAACGGCAGCACGGGGCAACCUGGUGGCGAGUGGCGAACGGGUGAGUAAUACAUCGGAACGUGCCCAAUCGUGGGGGAUAACGUAGCGAAAGUUACGCUAAUACCGCAUACGAUCUACGGAUGAAAGCGGGGGAUCGCAAGACCUCGCGCGAGUGGAGCGGCCGAUGUCAGAUUAGGUAGUUGGUGGGGUAAAGGCUCACCAAGCCAACGAUCUGUAGCUGGUCUGAGAGGAUGAUCCGCCACACUGGGACUGAGACACGGCCCAGACUCCUACGGGAGGCAGCAGUGGGGAAUUUUGGACAAUGGGCGCAAGCCUGAUCCAGCCAUGCCGCGUGAGUGAAGAAGGCCUUCGGGUUGUAAGCUCUUUCGGCUGGGAAGAAAUCGCAUCUCCUAAUACGGGGUGUGGAUGACGGUACCAGCAUAAGAAGCACCGGCUAACUACGU